RNAcentral lists this long non-coding RNA (615 nucleotides) under Homo sapiens (human). RNAcentral's name for it is "HSALNT0011107". The record is from RNAcentral. Lineage: Eukaryota; Metazoa; Chordata; Mammalia; Primates; Hominidae.
AGUGCUGAUUGGUGCAUUUACAAUCCUUUAGCUAGACAGAAAAGUUCUUCAAGUCCCCACUUGACCCAGAAAGUCCAGCUGGCUUCACCUCUUAAAACUACUCCACCUGAGGUUUUUAGAUCAAAAAGAAUUGUACUCAAGGAAUUGAAGCUAUGGAGCCUCUGCCACAUCUGGACCUGAUUUUGAUGACAAGAUCCUGUACCUCAAGCCCGAGACUAAUUUCAUAAUUUGAUGAAUCUUUUUGGAGAGUCAUGGGAGGAAUGUAAACAAUUUGUGGCCAAAGGAGAAUUAUGGUAGUUUGAAGAUGUGGAUACAAAUUAUUUGACAUUCUUCUCAUAGAAAGGUAACUCCAUAGCUGGGAGCCAAGUCUCGAAGCCCCAUGAGGGGAAGUGGAUACAUCUCAGAAUUGGGUUUCCUGAUACACACGACUGCAUCCUUCAUCUGCCAGGCCCUGGCAUUGUUUACUGGAGAAGAUGUCAUAGGAAAUUGGGCUAUGUCAUUGAGCCACUGGAGUCACACAUGAACAGCCAUUUGGAGAUUCUGGAAUUGAUGGUUCAGAUGAAGACAUGGAAGCAUAAGAAAUUGCCAAUAUUCACUUUGGGAGACCGAGACGGG